GGCGGUGUUUGGUUUCCCUCUACCUGGCUCACUGCCCAGAAAGGCUGAGCACCAUGCACGGUACCAAUGGGCUGGUGAGAACAGAGGUGAGUGGAGGAAGGAAAGUAAGGUGUGGGGGUUUGUGCCUCCUUCCCUCCCCAAAGCUGAUCUGUCCCUCAACAGUCACUUGCUAUCCUGCCUCUCUGUCCCUUGGGCUACUGGGGAGAUGGCCUUUCUCUGACCAGCUGGGGUUGCUUUCCACCCUACCCAAGUGCCUGUGAGUUGCCCCGGGCACAACUGCACAGGGAUACCUCUUGAUUCUUCUUUCAAAAAGAAGCCUGUCAUUCAUCUGUAAGGCUGCAGUUCACUCACCACCUUCAACCUUCAAGAUCAGUUUUAUGAUUUUUUUGCUGUGUUUUGUCCACUCUUGCCUGGCCAUUGUGGGGACUCCUCUAACUGGCAGUUUUUAGUUCCAUCUCCCCAUGGUGCAGGCUUAGACCCUAUUGGGUCUGAGCUCCUGUUCUCAAACCUGCUUCCUCUCGUUUUUUCUUUCUUUCACAGGUAUCAGAUCUGCACAAGAGACUGAAGACUUUCCUGCCUCCUCUCCAUUUUUUACUCUCCUCAAGCCUUCACCCAGGUAAAUCAGUCAUGUUUCUAACUCCAAUUCUGGCAUCUGCUUCCUGGUGACACCAAUUAGCACCUGGCCUUACUAAACUCCACUCACUGUCUCCUCUCUGUCAGGCCCAUGACUGAUGCACUUUGAUAUUCAUUUAAUAAAAUUUCACAAGAGUUAACAUAUUGACUUGGGGAGGAAAAAGUCCCUGGAUCCCUCCAGAGCUGCCCUGCCCACGAUCGUACCCAACAAAGAAAUGGAACUCAGAGACCACAGUUCCUGUAGCAUCAUCCAAUACUCAUGCCCUGGCGCACCCGGGCCUGUGGAAGGGAUUCUAGGAAAACAGGUAAAGGUUGGCGAGAGUUGAGAAGCUGCUGGACUGUGGGGAACAAGAAGUGACAGUAACAGGAAGCCCAAGGCUCUGGAUUUUUUCAAUAGGACCUUAGGAAAACACAUUUAAUCCUAAUCAAUAGGAAGAAAACGUCCAAAGUCAUUGAAGACAAAAACAGUACCAGAAAAGUUCAAAGUCUAUUCAUUAACUCUAGAGUUCAGAUUUGUUAGCUGCAAGCCGGGCUAUUCAGCCUCCCCAACCUGAUCUGUGCAAUGAAGACGAGAAGAUGAAGUGGAAGAUGAUUCUCAGUUGCUUAGGUUGGGACAUGGGAUGUCUAAUGCACUUUUGGGAAAUAUCUAGGUUCGUAAUUCUUUUUUUUACUUCUGCAACACUCCACAUGUUUUCUCACUCUUCCAAAAUGGAAUGACUGCCACAAAAAUCCUAAAAGCAAAAUUAAUUUAGUUUGCAAAAAGAAUAUGUCACAGGGAAUCGGAAUAUGCAGACUGUAUUUUCUUGGGUCAUUCUAAUUUCAAGGAUUCUGGCCUGUUACGAAAAAUAUACAUAUUAUUGGAUCACUUAUCUUCUUUGUGGUUCAGAAUAUUUGAUCCUGUUUUUCACGAAAGAUUUUCAGGACAGGAAAGGAGAUGGGGAAGGAGAAGUAUGGCUGGAAUAAUCUCGAAUUUCAAAAACCAUGUUUCAUUCCUAUCAUAUCAGUUCUUGUUUCUUUCAUGCAAUAAAUGAAAUCCAGUGUUUCUCACUCAGUGUUCCCCUGCUCCAAUUCCAGAUCCAUAAUUUGUGGUGACUUUUUGAUUAUUUGUGUGUGGGGGGGUAUCAUAAGGAAAUGCCAAAGAAGGCAGAAAAAUCUCCAGUUCCCACACAGUAAAGCAAAUGCUAUUUAUCAGACACUCCAACCCCAGGCAGCUUUCAGGUUCCGAGGUUCUUCAUCUUGGAACCUGCUUCCCACAUCUGAUGGAGCAGUCACAUGGAUUCACAUAUUCAAGUCAGGAUCAAAUUUGUCACUAGAGCUCAUUCUUGCUACCUUGCACAAAUUUAUCUCUUAACAGCAGAAGAUUCUAGGAAAUCUUCCUAUCUAGCCCAAGUGGUCCUGCUACUCUCUCCCCACUCCCCUCUGCCUUCCACAGGUCCUGGGUCUGACUCUCCAGGAGGCUGGGUUAAGGUGGCUCUCCAUCACAGUGGCAUCCAAGCCUUUUGUCCAGUCUUCCCAUCUCUGCACAGGCAACCCUGCAGUCCUGGCUGCAGCCUCUUCCC
RNAcentral lists this long non-coding RNA (2192 nucleotides) under Marmota monax (woodchuck). Lineage: Eukaryota; Metazoa; Chordata; Mammalia; Rodentia; Sciuridae. The record is from RNAcentral.